UACGGAGGGUGCAAGCGUUGUCCGGAUUUAUUGGGUUUAAAGGGUGCGUAGGCGGCCUUGUAAGUCAGUGGUGAAAGCCUCCAGCUCAACUGGAGAACUGCCAUUGAUACUGCAAGGCUUGAGUACAGACGAGGUUGGCGGAAUUGGUUGUGUAGCGGUGAAAUGCAUAGAUACAAUCAAGAACUCCGAUUGCGUAGGCAGCUCGCUGAGCCGAAACUGACGCUGAGGCACGAAAGCGUGGGGAGCGAACAGG
This 253-nucleotide ribosomal RNA is filed under the name uncultured bacterium. Its description in RNAcentral is "partial 16S ribosomal RNA". It matches the Rfam family "Bacterial small subunit ribosomal RNA", at positions 524 to 776 of the family's 1533-position model. The record is from RNAcentral.